UGGUUUCGGACCUGUUUAUUGUUAAACAGAGCAUGACUCAAAACGACGCAGCUUUGGCUCAGGAUCAGAAAGGUAAAGCGAAUAUGGGCCAAGACGAGACAAAGCCCAGUCGACAAAGAAGAGUGCAUCUUCGGUGGUCUUAGUGGCUUAAGGCUACAGCCCUCGAUUCUCUUAAGGAUCAGGAUUGAGCCAUCUGUCUAGUGAGCUACGGUUUUCAUUCUCUAGCAUAAAUAUACUAAACUAGGUUGUAAUCGUUGAGGUAAUGAAUGAAAUGAAAGUUCAGUGAAACAAAUUCAUCUUCUUCAUAAGUUUUUCAGUUUUUAUAAAUCUCUUUAUUUAUAAGGUAGGGAAGAUAUUUGUUUUUUUCAUCUUUGUAGAUUUGGGAUCUAUGGGAAAAAGGUGAAGCAAAGGACAUCAUAGACAACUUUAUGGAUCAAGGGACUUAUAACGAGAGCGAAGUGGUGAAGUGCAUACACAUUGGGUUGCUUUGCGUACAAGAAAACGCUUCGGACAGAGUAGAUAUGUCCUCUGUUCUCAUCAUGUUGGGUCAAAACGCUAUUGAUCUUCCAAAUCCUAAGCUUCCUGCGUUUACUUCCGUGAGAAGGAGAGGCCGCGAAAUUGUUUCUUUGCUCAUUGCAGAGCCGGGUAGUUCUGUUAAUGACGUUACCUUCACCGAUGUUCAAGGUCGUUAAAUUUCUUACAAAGAAAGAAGAAGAAAAAGAGAGAGUAAAUUUCUUUCUUGGCUUCACUAUAAUAAAAUUUAUGCAGAAGAGUCAAAGAUGUUGUUAUGUAUUUAAUGGAAUUAUGAAAGGUCAAAACUGAUCUUAUCCACAAUUCCAAACUAUCCAGGUUCGUUCAUUUCACUAUAUAUAUACAUAGCAAAGCAACCCAAACACACAAAACCAUAAUAGUGUGGCUUCUCAAGAAAAAAAAAUGGCUUCUCAAGAACAUAUGUGGUUUAUGUUCUUUCUCCUUUUCAGCUUCUUCAUCCAGGCUGAUUCGGCUCGGGGAGGUUCAUGUUCUCGGUGGUUAGCAUCCAAAUCACGGUUGAAACAUUAGGUCGAUCGUCAGCAACUUCUUGCACACACAACAAACCAAUCUGAACACAUUUUGUUAUCUCUUUCUCGAAAGACUCAUCAAAGACGUUUGGAUCUGCUAGAGAAGCAGCCUCUCCCUCAUUCCACAGCGUCCACACCUGUAAGAAUAUCAAAUUUACAGAAGACCCCUGCAUAUUCCUUCCAUUAUGUUCAACCGUGUCUUCCAGUCAAGAAUCUUUUGCUUCAAAGGGUCUGAAGAAAGAGCUUACAAAAUCAUUAGCUUUCCUAAGUAAGAACAAAAGAGAGGAGAUCAUUUUACCAAAUAGAUAGGCAUCCAAGCUUUUCUUUGGCAUAUAUUCGUAGACUAGCAACCUUUCUUCACCUUCAAUGCAACAGCCAAGUAACUUCACCAGAUUCCUAUGUUGCAACUUCGAAAUGACAACCACUUCGUUCAUAAGCUCCUCAAGUCCUUGUCCUGAUGCCCUUGAGAGCCUCUUCACUGCUAUUUCUUGCCCUUCAGGACCAAAUCCGCCUUGUCCGAGCUUGCUUCUGAGAGAGAAGUCAUCAGUUGCUGUAGCUAACACUUGAAACUCAAAGAGCGGAAGCUCCUCUAGCUUGACUUGGUUAGAAGCAGGCUCAUCACCACUGUUAACUUCUUCCAUUCUCUUUAACAAUUGCUCUACGCUUCUAUCUUUCUUUGGUUCUCCUAAGGCAACGAUUGAAGAUGCAAACAAAUUAUUAUAAAAGGAAAAAUCUCAAGCAAGAGUAAAGAAAAUUCUAACCCGGACGCUUUUUGAGUUUCAGGCAUGCUAAAAGAACGCAGACCGCAACAACAAACACAACGCCUAGAACAAGUGCUGUGAUCAUUACUGCUCUCUUGCUAUGUGCUUCUACAAGAUUUUGAAUGCGAGAGACGAAUAUAAAGAUCAAUGCCACUUCCCAAGAACGAUUGCAUAUCAACCAAGCUACCGCUCCAAAGCAUGCAUCCAAUGCCUUGAUCAUAUGCAUAAGCUGUGCAAGAACAGUUAUCUAAACAAGCCUUAGGACAAGCUUGCGCAUUAGCUAAAGACGGUUGCACAUUGACAGUUUCCUCCACUCCACUCUGUGCUAUUCCUCGGCACAAAACCUUGUAUGCACUUGCACUGUGGAUCUUCCCGGUAAUUGCAGCUCCCAUAAGGACCACAUCUACUGUAUUCAUCACAGUCUGUAGAUGGGAACCGAACACCGACUCGCCAGUCAUUCAUAGAAGUACUCCAGUCUCUCUGGUAUAUAGCUCCAUUAGGAUCCAAGUUGAAGUGAUACAUGAAGGAGUCAUUAGCAUAGCUCAACGAAACCGUUCCGUGGUUAUCAUUGUUGAGGUUAAAACCAUCAAUGUUGAGGAGAGAAUCCAUAUCCGGUAAACCGAUGAAAACCUGACCAUUCCAGGGACCGCUACGCCACUGUGGAACCUUGUUCUUCCAGAUUAGAAGCUCGGGAAACGGGAAAGCGACAAGGCCAACUGUAUAGUUCCCUGUUGAAGGAUCUGUAUAGUUUCUC
Long non-coding RNA from Brassica rapa (field mustard), 2573 nucleotides. RefSeq lists it as uncharacterized. The record is from RefSeq and is a predicted model, not a curated record. Lineage: Eukaryota; Viridiplantae; Streptophyta; Magnoliopsida; Brassicales; Brassicaceae.